Molecule: ribosomal RNA, 253 nt
Filed under: uncultured bacterium
Lineage: Bacteria
Description: partial 16S ribosomal RNA
Rfam family: Bacterial small subunit ribosomal RNA
Source: RNAcentral
UACGUAGGCAGCGAGCGUUGUUCGGAGUUACUGGGCGUAAAGAGUGCGUAGGCGGUUUUCUAAGUUUGGUGUGAAAUCUCCCGGCUUAACUGGGAGGGUGCGCCGAAAACUGGAAGGCUUGAGUAUGGGAGAGGUAAGCGGAAUUCCUGGUGUAGCGGUGAAAUGCGCAGAUAUCAGGAGGAACACCGGUGGCGAAGGCGGGUCUCUGGGCCGAUACUGACGCUGAGGAGCGAAAGCGUGGGGAGCAAACAGG